Molecule: ribosomal RNA, 468 nt
Filed under: uncultured bacterium
Lineage: Bacteria
Description: partial 16S ribosomal RNA
Rfam family: Bacterial small subunit ribosomal RNA (bases 58-468)
Source: RNAcentral
GGGGGGGGGGGGGGGGGGGGGGGGGGGGGGGGGGGCGGGGGGGGGGGGGGGGGGGGGGGGGGGGGCGCGGGGGGGGGGCGGGUGGGGAAGCCGUGGGUACCCGGGCCUUGACGGUGGGGUAGCUUCGGGGACCGGGGGCGAAGAGCGGAUAGGAGCUCCUGCUGCAUGGUGGGGGGUGGCAAGUUUCGGCGGGUGGGGAUGGACUCGCGGCUUAUCAGCUUGUUGGUGGGGUAGUGGCGUACCCAGGCUUUGACGGGUAGCCGGCCUGAGAGGGUGACCGGCCACAUUGGGACUGAGAUACGGCCCAGACUCCUACGGGAGGCAGCAGUGGGGAAUAUUGCACAAUGGGCGGAAGCCUGAUGCAGCAACGCCGCGUGCGGGAUGACGGCCUUCGGGUUGUAAACCGCUUUCGCCUGUGACGAAGCGUGAGUGACGGUAAUGGGUAAAGAAGCACCGGCUAACUACGUG